Lytechinus variegatus (green sea urchin) is the source of this 453-nucleotide long non-coding RNA. RefSeq lists it as uncharacterized. The record is from RefSeq and is a predicted model, not a curated record. The transcript has 6 exons. NCBI's taxonomy places the organism in Eukaryota, Metazoa, Echinodermata, Echinoidea, Temnopleuroida, Toxopneustidae.
AGCUAGCAGAGAGGAGACACAUCUGAAGCUAGAAGGGUGUAAUGGCAAGCGAUCAGUACUCAAUAUAUUUGAGGAUGCAGCCAUCAGUGAGCCUCUGAGAUGUGCUAGUUUGAACCAUGUUAGUUGAUUUCAUCAAGUACCAUGAACUGUGAAGCUGUAGUGUUACAGGAGAAAAACAGAUGUUCCCUGAAUGUUUUUUUUCCAGAGAAAAGCAAUUAUACUGCUAUUCGCUAGAAGCGACAUCUCAAGGGACUUCUGGGACCUAUGCCAUGGAUCCAAAGGACAAGGUUCUUCAACAUCAAUCAACUGAACUAUUAGGAGUGGAUUUUACUUCUACAUACUUGGAAUACCAGGAAUCCUUAAUUUCAUUGGAUUUUAAAGUUCUGAAACAGAUGAAGAGACAAAGGAAAAACAUAGGAGACAAAUGAUGUAAAUAAAUGCUAUAAAAUUAAC